Molecule: unclassified non-coding RNA, 23 nt
Filed under: Mus musculus (house mouse)
Lineage: Eukaryota; Metazoa; Chordata; Mammalia; Rodentia; Muridae
Description: oocyte_clustered_small_RNA543
Source: RNAcentral
UGUUGUGCAUGGCUGUGUCCUUC